GGCCGCCAUGGCGGCCGCGGGAAUUCGAUUAGAGUUUGAUCAUGGCUCAGAUUGAACGCUGGCGGCAUGCCUUACACAUGCAAGUCGAACGGCAGCGCGGGGCAACCUGGCGGCGAGUGGCGAACGGGUGAGUAAUAUAUCGGAACGUACCCUGGAGUGGGGGAUAACGUAGCGAAAGUUACGCUAAUACCGCAUACGAUCUAAGGAUGAAAGCAGGGGACCGCAAGGCCUUGUGCUCCUGGAGCGGCCGAUAUCUGAUUAGCUAGUUGGUGGGGUAAAGGCCCACCAAGGCAUCGAUCAGUAGCUGGUCUGAGAGGACGACCAGCCACACUGGAACUGAGACACGGUCCAGACUCCUACGGGAGGCAGCAGUGGGGAAUUUUGGACAAUGGGCGCAAGCCUGAUCCAGCAAUGCCGCGUGAGUGAAGAAGGCCUUCGGGUUGUAAAGCUCUUUUGUCAGGGAAGAAACGGGUCUUUCUAAUACAGAGAUCUAAUGACGGUACCUGAAGAAUAAGCACCGGCUAACUACGUGCCAGCAGCCGCGGUAAUACGUAGGGUGCAAGCGUUAAUCGGAAUUACUGGGCGUAAAGCGUGCGCAGGCGGUUUUUGUAAGUUUGUCGU
Molecule: ribosomal RNA, 621 nt
Filed under: uncultured Pseudomonadota bacterium
Lineage: Bacteria; Pseudomonadati; Pseudomonadota
Description: uncultured proteobacterium partial 16S ribosomal RNA
Rfam family: Bacterial small subunit ribosomal RNA
Source: RNAcentral